GUAGGGAAUCUUCCACAAUGGACGAAAGUCUGAUGGAGCAACGCCGCGUGAGUGAAGAAGGUCUUCGGAUCGUAAAACUCUGUUGUUAGAGAAGAACGUGCAUGAUAGUAACUGAUCAUGUAAUGACGGUAUCUAACCAGAAAGCCACGGCUAACUACGUGCCAGCAGCCGCGGUAAUACGUAGGUGGCAAGCGUUGUCCGGAUUUAUUGGGCGUAAAGGGAACGCAGGCGGUUUUUUAAGUCUGAUGUGAAAGCCUUCGGCUUAACCGAAGAAUAGCAUUGGAAACUGGAAGACUGGAGUGCAGAAGAGGAGAGUGGAAUUCCAUGUGUAGCGGUGAAAUGCGUAGAUAUAUGGAGGAACACCAGUGGCGAAAGCGGCUCACUGGCUCGAUACUGACGCUGAGGUGCGAAAGCGUGGGGAGCAAACAGGAUUAGAUACCCUAGUAGUCC
Molecule: ribosomal RNA, 450 nt
Filed under: uncultured bacterium
Lineage: Bacteria
Description: partial 16S ribosomal RNA
Rfam family: Bacterial small subunit ribosomal RNA
Source: RNAcentral